CAGGUAGUCUUUAAAAAGACUGUGAAUUUUUUUUGAAAUAACUCUGAGCUUAGGUAGUAAAAAAUACCGCAGCUCUAGUGUCCGUUCACCUCGAAGGUUCGCAAGACACUGAGCUAUCGACUGUUAUUUCGUUAUUCGCUUGGGGUAUAAAGGAAAAGUAGCUUCGGUCGCGAUCGUUUUCAUCAAAAGAGGUGUAUACGCUUUCAAAAAAAAGUUUGCGAAUAGUUCACAAAUUUCUGCACUGUUUUUGCCAAUUUUAUUGUCUAGAGACAUAUUUGACGGAAAAUUACUACUUUUUAAUUUUGAUUUGACAAAAUUGAAAAACUUCUUGGAAUCACUCUUGAUUUCCGAUUCUACCUUUCUAUGAUACUUUUCAAAUUCAAAUUGGAUGGUGACUUCUAACUGACUGCGUAUUUGUAGAUACUCAUCAAGUUUUUGGCUAUUGCUUUUGUAAGCUUUGUGAGCUUUUUGUUUUCUAUUUUUAAGGUUUUUAACCUCUCUUGUAAACCAAGGCGGGUGUUUGUCAAUUGUGCGUCUUUUUCUUCGUAUUGGGACGCUUUCAUCGAGGAUGUCGAAUAUAAUGCUAUAGAAAGUGUUAACUGCUAGCUCGAUGUUCGUUUCUUUCUCUAGUAAUGCUUUCCAAUCAACUUCUAAUAGUCUACGUUUGAUUAAGGGAUAAUUGGCAUUAUUGUAAUCAGGAAUUUCUUCGUAAUCUGAACCAUCUGGUCUGUUAAUAGCCUUAUGCACGAAAAGUGAAAAUUCAAUUGCUGUGUGAUGAGCUUCAUUUUUCCAAAGUGGAUUAUUUGCUUCAGUCACACAGAAGUCUUCAGUCAUAUUAGUAAAAAGAAGAUCAAGAAAGCGAUUAUUUUGAUUUUUAACAUGAUUAUUAUUUUUUUUUUUAUUAUUAUUAUAGAGACUUUACACCAUUGUGCAUUCAUCUCUUCAAGGUGGAUAGUGAAAAAGGAAAGAUUACAGAGUUUAAAAUCACUUCAAUAAUUAUUACCAUGCCUUUUUUCUAACGAUUUCUGUCUAUGUUUCAAAUAUUUAGCGGAAUAUUUAAAGAGUGAAUUAUCAAGUUCUUCAAGUUUAUCUUCGUCCUCUUCUUCCAGGGAUUUAGAAGUUAUCUCACAACACUUUUUCUUAUAAUAUUUUGCUUUUAUGACAUCUUCAUCAUCUUCAUCUGUUUCUUCUGCAGCCAUCUCUCUUCGUUUUUUUGUUAGUUCGUCUUCCGCGUCCAAAUAUGCCUGUAAGCGCUUCCGACGGCGGGUGUGCUUAGAAAGCACGGUCUCGAAUCCAUCGUUGUCUUCUUCGUCAAUUUCACUUGUUUCCAUUGCCUUUUUUUUCUGGUUUACUGUUGUUGCUUUUACUGCUGCUGCUGCUUGGCUCGGGUGGAUUAAUUUGAUUUAGGCCGAGAGAGUACAUUUUAUCAAAAAUUAAUUGUAAUAUUAUCCCAUUUAAAAUUGAAGGGCGGAGCGCCAGCUCCUGUUACGUUCAAUCAAGCUCAUAUUUUGGAUUUGGGCUUAGUAUGCCCACCGGAACAAACCCUUGAAUGCCCGCCAAAAAGCCAUUUUGUUACACUCUACUAGAGAUCCUUAAUAGGAAGACUGGUCGAAGUGAAUUUGACGUACCCAAACAGACACGAGUUUGACGUAUCCAAACGAGCAUUUGCCUUUACGCCCACACUGAAAGAAACCGACAUAGCAAAAUCAAAUGCUUUUUCACGUGAGCUACUCCAAAAACCAACACGUUAAAGUCACGUACUUUUCUUUUGACUAUGAUGUGUUUUUCAUCGCGAAUAGAUAUGAGAACUCUUUCAAUUUCAACCAUUUAUAAGUCAUUAUACUUUCAUAUGCUGCCCACCAUGAAUUCACAUGAAUUUCACAUCGAUUUGCCCCAUUCGUCUUUUCCUUUGAUUUUGAAGUGGAAAUCACGUUAAAACUAAAUGUUUUGAAUUUGAAAGUCGAGUGUUGCAAAGUAGUUCCAAAUUGAUUAGGCAAGAUGGCGACAAGUAAAAAGUCGUGAUUGGAGCUCUUUGUUAAAAAAUUAGUUUAGUUUGUAUUUUUAUAAGAAAUCCUAGUUUUGAUCAUGAAAAACUUGUUCCGGGGCCAAAUUUUGAAAAAGUUCGGAUUGAGAUGCGGUUUUGUGAUGUUCGUGGCCUUUGAAUGUCCCAAACUGCGCAACAAAGAAAUUCCGCGGAAAAUACGCAGGGCCCCCGGUGGCCAGUGACAGGAGAACGGCAAAGAACGCCUAACUCCAAACGGCGGUGUAUCGUUCACGGACCGUUCGCAAUGAAGAACAACAAAUGGUUUCAACCGCCAAUCCGGUAAAUUUCCUGUCCCCGGACCAUGGAAGAGCUGUACAACUUACUGAACGAGCGCCUCGCCGGGUGGACCAUCACGGUGGCCGAGAACGGCAACGGAAGAUACAACGUUGGAGUUUUGAAUAUUAGUUGUGUGAGUCGGAUCCAGUGGUUUAUGUGUAAUAUUUUAGGAGAAACAAGUGUGAAAAAUAAAUA
Molecule: long non-coding RNA, 2515 nt
Organism: Culex pipiens pallens (northern house mosquito)
Lineage: Eukaryota; Metazoa; Arthropoda; Insecta; Diptera; Culicidae
Exons: 2
Source: RefSeq, a predicted model, not a curated record